Molecule: ribosomal RNA, 444 nt
Filed under: uncultured soil bacterium
Lineage: Bacteria
Description: bacterial SSU rRNA
Rfam family: Bacterial small subunit ribosomal RNA
Source: RNAcentral
AGAGCGAACGCUGGCGGCAGGCUUAACACAUGCAAGUCGAGCGCCCCGCAAGGGGGAGCGGCAGACGGGUGAGUAACACGUGGGAACGUGCCUUUUGGUUCGGAACAACCCAGGGAAACUUGGGCUAAUACCGGAUAAGCCCUUACGGGGAAAGAUUUAUCGCCAAAAGAUCGGCCCGCGUCUGAUUAGCUAGUUGGUGGGGUAAUGGCCCACAAGGCUACGAUCAGUAGCUGGUCUGAGAGGAUGAUCAGCCACAUUGGGACUGAGACACGGCCCAAACUCCUACGGGAGCAGCAGUGGGGAAUAUUGGACAAGUGGGGGCAACCCGUGAUCCAGCCAUGCCGCGUGAGUGAUGAAGGCCUUAGGGUUGUAAAGCUCUUUAGCAGGAGAUAAUGGACGGUACUGACAAGAAAACGCCCGAUAACUUCGUCGCCAGCACGCCGA